GAUGAACGCUGGCGGCGUGCUUAACACAUGCAAGUCGAGCGGCAGCGCGAGUAGUUUACUACUUGGCGGCGAGCGGCGGACGGCUGAGUAACGCGUGGGAAUGUGCCCUAAAGUGAGGGAUAACGCACCGAAAGGUGUGCUAAUACCGCAUAUGGUCUUCGGAUUAAAGAAUUUAUUCGCUUUAGGAGCAGCCUGCGUCGGAUUAGGUAGUUGGUAGGGUAAUGGCCUACCAAGCCGACGAUCCGUAGCUGGUCUGAGAGGAUGACCAGCCAGACUGGAACUGAGACACGGUCCAGACUCCUACGGGAGGCAGCAGUGAGGAAUCUUCCACAAUGGGCGAAAGCCUGAUGGAGCAACGCCGCGUGCAGGAUGAAGGCCUUCGGGUUGUAAACUGCUUUUAUUUGUGAGGAAUAUGACGGUAGCAAAUGAAUAAGGAUCGGCUAACUACGUGCCAGCAGCCGCGGUCAUACGUAGGAUCCGAGCGUUAUCCGGAGUGACUGGGCGUAAAGAGUUGCGUAGGUGGUUAUAUAAGUGAAUAGUGAAAUCUGGCGGCUCAACCGUACAGGCUAUUAUUCAAACUGUAUAACUCGAGAAUGGUAGAGGUUACUGGAAUUUCUUGUGUAGGAGUGAAAUCCGUAGAUAUAAGAAGGAACACCAAUGGCGUAGGCAGGUAACUGGACCAUUUCUGACACUAAGGCACGAAAGCGUGGGGAGCGAACCGGAUUAGAUACCCGGGUAGUCCACGCCGUAAACGAUGGAUACUAGCUGUUGGAGGUAUCGACCCCUUUCAGUAGCGAAGCUAACGCGUUAAGUAUCCCGCCUGUGGAGUACGGUCGCAAGACUAAAACAUAAAGGAAUUGACGGGGACCCGCACAAGCGGUGGAUCGUGUUCUUUAAUUCGAUGCUAAACGAAGAACCUUACCAGGGCUUGACAUCCAGGGAAUUUCUGCGAAAGCAGUUAGUGCCUUUUGGAACCCUGUGACAGGUGAUGCAUGGCCGUCGUCAGCUCGUGUCGUGAGAUGUUUGGUUAAGUCCAUCAACGAGCGCAACCCUUGUGAAUAGUUGUAUUUUUCUAUUCAGACUGCCCCGGUAACGGGGAGGAAGGAGGGGAUGAUGUCAGGUCAGUAUUUCCCUUACGUCCUGGGCUAGAAACACGAUACAAUGGCUAGUACAAUGCGCAGCGAAACCGCGAGGUGGAGCAAAUCGCACCAAAGCUAGUCCCAGUUCGGAUUGGAGGCUGAAACUCGCCUCCAUGAAGUCGGAAUCGCUAGUAAUCGCAAAUCAGCAAGUUGCGGUGAAUACGUUCCCGGGUCUUGUACACACCGCCC
This 1328-nucleotide ribosomal RNA is filed under the name uncultured bacterium. RNAcentral's name for it is "bacterial SSU rRNA". It matches the Rfam family "Bacterial small subunit ribosomal RNA", at positions 28 to 1395 of the family's 1533-position model. The record is from RNAcentral.